Molecule: long non-coding RNA, 839 nt
Organism: Mytilus trossulus (common blue mussel)
Lineage: Eukaryota; Metazoa; Mollusca; Bivalvia; Mytilida; Mytilidae
Exons: 3
Source: RefSeq, a predicted model, not a curated record
UCCGCAGCGCAUGCAUACAUUUUUUCGUUAAUUGCAUAAAUAUAUAUUUAAAACAUGUUUUUGUAUUAAUUUUGACGGUUCGUUUUUAAACAUACGACAAUUUGUAGCCGUUUGACCAUUCUGUGGAAAGUGCGUACAUGCGAACUACUUUGUUUACGUUUUCCAAGUUGGCGGCCGCCAGCUUACAAACCAUACAGGUUUCUUAUACUAAGUAACUGAUUAUCAUGACACUGUCAUAACAUGAGGUGCCAGGACAGGCAGGAGAUGUGAGAAGUAGCAGUUUUAAAAUUUUAUUGCGGGAAAUAUUAAUUUCAUUAGUAUUUUAUCUUUUGUUGGAGAGAAUUGGAGAUUUGAGCCACUAUAAACAUACAUGUAUAAUAUCACUGUACUAGUGUACAUGUUUUUAAGGGGGCAGCUGGACACUGCCUCCUGGUGCAGGAGUUUCUCGCUACAUUGAAGACCCAUUGGUGGCCUUCAGCUGUUGUCUGCUCUAUGGUCUGGUUGUUGUCGCUUUGACACAUUCCCCAUUUCCUUUCUUAAUUUUAUGUAUAUAAUAUAUCUCUGCAUAUCUGAAGCCCCAGACUAGUAUAUUUCUUUUGGACUAGUAAGUUUUUGCAAAACUUUGUUUGAACCAAUAAGAAAAAUGUCAGAAUAUUGGUCUUUGGACAAGUAGUUGAGAAAAGAUUUUGGUGCAGACUGUAUAUAUAUAUCACAUUUCCUUUAUCAAAAGUUUUUUUCAAGCAGAAAAAAAGAAUGGGUUGAAGAAAAAUUAUUGAAAGCUACAUUUGUCAAAAUUAAAUAUUUGCGGAAAAUUUGCUCUUUUUAGUGGCCUCCUCUCA